RNAcentral lists this ribosomal RNA (492 nucleotides) under uncultured bacterium. RNAcentral's name for it is "partial 16S ribosomal RNA". It matches the Rfam family "Bacterial small subunit ribosomal RNA", at positions 29 to 507 of the family's 1533-position model. The record is from RNAcentral.
AGUGAACGCUGGCGGUAGGCCUAACACAUGCAAGUCGAACGGCAGCACAGUAAGAGCUUGCUCUUACGGGUGGCGAGUGGCGGACGGGUGAGGAAUACAUCGGAAUCUACUUUUUCGUGGGGGAUCUCGUAUGCCGUCUUCCGCUUGUAAAAAAAACGACCUACGGGUGAAAGCAGGGGAUCUUCGGACCUUGCGCGAUUGAAUGAGCCGAUGUCGGAUUAGCUAGUUGGCGGGGUAAAGGCCCACCAAGGCGACGAUCCGUAGCUGGUCUGAGAGGAUGAUCAGCAACACUGGAACUGAGAAACGGUCCAGACUAAGACGGGAGGCAGCAGUGGGGAAUAUUGGAAAAGGGGGGCAAGCCUGAUCAAGCAAUACCGCGUGGGUGAAGAAGGCCUUGGGGUUGUAAAGCACGUUUGUUGGGAAAGAAAAGCAGCAGGUUAAUACCCCGCUGUUCUGACGGUACCCAAAGAAUAAGCACCGGAUAACUGCGUG